Long non-coding RNA from Cottoperca gobio, 2877 nucleotides. Ensembl annotates it as TNFAIP3-interacting protein 3-like. The record is from Ensembl. NCBI's taxonomy places the organism in Eukaryota, Metazoa, Chordata, Actinopteri, Perciformes, Bovichtidae.
UGAAGUGGGAUAUCCCACAAUACCCUGCUGAAACCUUGCCAGCAUUUGCAAACAAAUAAUGGAAGUGGAAGCUCACACUUCAAUAAAAAAAAUCCACAAAACAAAUGUCUAAUUGAAUUAAAUGUGGUAUUUUGGUGUGAAAAGUCUCAGUGGGGGAAUUAUGUAGCCUAUUUUCUUUUGGGCAUCGAGUUAGUUUAAUGUCUUUACUUCUUUUCUUUUUUAAACCAGUAUAAAGUAAGAAGAGGGUGGUGGUCUUAUAGCUUUAAAAUGGGAAGAAAUAUGUAAAAUAGGUUUCACUAACACACGUUUCUAGAAAUGAGCAGCCAUAGGUCGAGUGAGUCCCCUGCUGAGUGCCGGUUACUGGAGGAGGAGGAGCGGCGGCGUAUUUCCCCCUGAGAGUCUUUCCGGAAACAAGUUUGUUCUGAGUCAAAAGAUUGAGUAACAACGGCUCUGCCCCGGUGACUAACCUAGCCACGCGAGGGAAUCCCGGCAGGUGAUUGGACAAUACUGGCUUUACCACGUCACUCAGGAUCGUCAAUAUAACUUGUGCGGAGCGAGUCGCUGUUUCAAAUCCCAGCUGUUGUGAGAUUUGUACAUGUCGAGGACCCAAGAAAACAACAAGAUGUCACUACAUGAAAACACAAUGGACAGCUCACCUGUGGAGAGAUCUCAGACUACACACAGCAGACAGACACACAGACUGUAUCCAUCACUACGAAAGUACAGAGACGAGGUUGGUGUGGCGGACCACUCCACUGGAGAAAAGCUUCACACAGCUGCAGGGUAUCAUCCCAACAGCCUGCGCAGAGACACUCAGUCAGGAGCGUCGGCUGCCGGCAGUGACAUCAGAAUGAAAGCCCAGAUACUUAUCUUGGAGAGGAAAAUGCACGAGCUUCUCUGUAUUAAUGAGAAAUGGGCUAUAGAGUACUACGCCAUGAAAGAGAAGGUCCAAGACUUACAAGCAUUACUGCAAGGCGAUCACUCGGCAGCGGAGAAGUGUGGAGAAGGAGAAAAGAACGUCACGUUAAACGAGAAAGUCACAGAAGAAGAGAACACAUGGAUUGUGGAGGAGUUACUAAAAGCAGAAAAGAAGGCGACGGAGCUGCGAGCACAAAACGACACUCAGACCCGAAGAUUGCAUCAUCAGGAAGAGGAGAUCAGAAGAUUGAACAAGGCUUUAAAGGAGGCAAGUCAGACUACUCAACCUCUCGAUGUCUGGGAACAGCAGGCAGAAGUCUACAAGGAAGACUUCUUGACUGAGCGCAAGGACAGGGAGAAGCUUAAAAGCAAAUACCUGGAACUAGAGAUGAAGUUUAGAAAAGUUCACAGUGAGCUACAUGCCCUCAAAUCUCAGGCGACUCGGACACCGCGGCCUGUACCUGAAUGCACCUGCACAGAUCGAGCUACAAGUCCGAACUGGGAGGUCCGCCAGAUUAACCAUAACUACAUCCAGUUGCAAAGACGUUGCACACUUGAUAACAAAUCGUGAAAUUCAACGACCUCCUCGCCCUUUGUGGACGUCUCCGAUCACAGUUCAUCAGUAGCAUUGUGAGACUUUAGUUUAUCAAGCAGCACAACAUCAAGGAAGUGAGCUCUGUUCCGUUUCAGUCCUCGGCCGACGGCUCUGCUGCAGGUUCAGCUUCAGGUUCAGCUUCAGGUAGUUUUCGUCGUGGUCGUAAUCCACCAUUUGGAGACCUUGGAAUCAAAUACAUAAAAAAGACACUUAAAGGGCCGGUGAAAUAGAAAUGUGACACUCGAGUAGAAACACUUCCCACGAGGAGAAAAGCAGCAAAGAGUGAGAUAAAAUACUCUAACCCGUUGUGUGCAAAGUUUUCUACGUAAGCCAUUGCGAGCUUGCUCAGUUCCUCCUCUUCGUGUGACACAGGUCCUUUCGGGAGAUAUGAUUUAUUGCACUGCACCAAACACCAUCGACUUCAUCAAAAGUGCGACACAAUGGGAUCUUCCUAAUUCAAGUACCUGUAACCACGGUUUGUACGGUACAAAAGGAGGAUACGAGAAAAAACAAAGCAUCGUCGUAGUGGUCUUGUCGUGCACAGGAGGAGGAAUUAGAAUCAUCAAUCAAGUCGUGUUCUGAUGACGAGAGCUGUGAAAGGAUUCUGAGUCACCGUAAAGCACCUCUGUGGUAUGCAGCCACUUUUAGAACAGGAAGAAUGAGCACCAUGUCGCCAAGAAUCUCUGUGAAAGUGUCCCGUACGUUCUCCGGAGAGUCAUCCUGUCGCAGGUAUUCAUUCAGUAUUAGUUUGUUUGCACCUGACGCCUGUCAGAGGAAAGACAGAUAGGUUGUGGAAGAAAUAAAUAAAUAUAUAGGAAUGUUCAUUUUUACAGUAUGUGUGUGGAUACUUAGGUUUGUUUGUUGCCUGUUUCUUGUGUAUUUAUCAUGACAAUAAAGCAUUGGACGUACAUGUGUGUUGGAUGUCACUUACACGGGAGGGGAAGAACAUGUUCAUCACUGAUAUCACAUCUUCCCUCUUCAUACCUUGAUCCCAUCCAGUAGGUCCGAGGAGCUAAUCACAAGUACAUGUAGUAUGUCAAGGAAAAUAAGCAGAAAUUUAGAAACACUUUAUUAUCAAUGUGUCACUUGGGAAAUUACCAAAAGCUCUAACAAUACACAUGUUACAUUGUAAGUGAGUGCUAGUGUCCUGCAUAACACAAAUAAAAAAAACAGUCUUGAGAGUGUACCUGUGGGAGCAUCCAUCCAAACUCAUGAGUGGUCACUCCGAUCAGCUUAGGAACUUUCUGGAAUUCUUUGUCCUUUAAACGUCUUCAGGUGGGCCUUUCAGGAACACUCCGUCAAUAGCUGGACCCAAAAAUGCCUUAAACUGAAAUAUAAAUAAUUCUGAUAAAAGCCCUUCCCUU